UGUCUAAUAGUCUCCUGAUUACCAAUAGUCUCUCUUGUAUAGUAGUCUCCUCUAGAGUAAAACAUUCUAGAGUUAUAGGACUAAGAACCAUUCCUUAUCUCUCAUUGUCCUCCCCUUAAGUGGUGAUGGGGUCGUACUGAAAUAAGGUUCAAUCUCUCUAAAUAUAACACCCAUACUGACAAAAUAUUUUCUAUAUUGUUAUAAGUAAUAAGUUAUAGAAAGUAAAUAUGUUAAUAUAGGAAGUAAAUAUUGAUAGAUGAAUCAGUUGCUUAAUCUUAGGGAUUGUAUAAUUAUAGGCUUGAUUUUCCUUCCUGUUUAGUUACCGUCUCUCAUGUAUAAAUAGGUUGUAAUCUCUAUUGUGAUAAAUACAAUAAAUAUUAUCUUUCUACAUGGUAUCAGAGCUUUUCUCAUAGAGAUUUUUUUCUCUUCUCUCUCUCGUAAAGUUUUAAAAUUUUUUUUUGAGACUUAGGGCUCCGUUCAUUUGGGUUAUCCAUAAAGGGUAACAUUUGGAUCUCACCAUCGCUAGAGUCACCACACCGACUCCUUGUCAGAUUUGAGGUUUGUUUGCCGUUCGGGUGUUGGGUGGAGGUGUUUUAUUUGGUACUGUUCAUCGGCACUGUUCACGUGGUACUGUUCAUCGUCACUGUUCACGUGGUACUGUUCAUCGGCACUGUUCACGUGGUACUGUUCACGCCGGGUACUGUUUUCUGAUUCUGUGUUUCUUUUGUUGCUAUCGUUUUUGGGUUGGUUGUCCUUAUGGCUGGAGUUAAAACCACCACCGUAACUGAUGUGAUUCCUAUGAUGACUAAAAUCACGGAACACAAAUUGAAUGGAUCUUCCGAUCAGGGAAUUUUGAUAUCUGCAGAUGAGUAUGCACAAUUCAUCCAAUACCAGGCAUCUAUAAAAUCUUCUAAUUCCUCCUCUAUCACUGCAAUUGCCGAGUCAGGUAACUCUACUGCAUGUCUUGUGUCUUCAUCCUCCAAAUGGAUUAUUGAUUCUGGUGCUACCGAUCAUAUGUCAGGUAAUUCUACCCUUUUGUCUAAUCUUGAGUCUCAUACAUCGUCUUCUUAUGUUACUCUUGCUGAUGGCACUAAAUCGUUUGUCAUGGGUUCUGGUCAUGUCAACUUAACCCCUUCUCUUUCUGUAUCCUCUGUGUUAUGUCUCCCUAAGUUCGCAUUUAAUUUGCUUUCCGUGAGUAAACUCACUCGUGCAUUGAAUUGUUGUGUCUCAUUCUUUCCUGAUCACUGUGUUUUUCAGGAUCUUUCGACGAAGCAGAUUAUUGGUAGAGGAAGUGAGUCAGAGGGUCUUUACGUCUUGGAUCAGCAACUACCUCGAUCUCCUCGAUCUCUGGUAUGCUCCACGCGUUUAACACCUUUUGAUGUUCAUUGUCGUUUAGGGCAUCCUUCUCUCUCGGUUUUGAAGAAGUUAUAUCCACAGUUUCAUUCUUUGUCUAUUCUAGAUUGUGAGUCUUGUCAAUUUGCCAAAUAUCAUCGUUUACCUACACUGUCUCGAGUCAAUAAACGAGCUUCGUCUCCCUUUGAGUUAGUCCAUUCAGAUGUUUGGGGUCCUUGUCCUAUUGUGUCUAAGUCUGGCUUUAAGUAUUUUGUUACUUUUGUUGAUGAUUUCUCUCGUACUACUUGGUUAUUUUGAAUGAAGAGUCGUUCAGAAUUAUUUUCUAUUUUUUGUGCAUUUUAUGCUGAAAUCCAAACCCAAUUCAAUACUUCCAUCCGUAUAUUGCAAAGUGAUAAUGCUAAAGAGUAUCUCUCUGGGGAAUUUCAAUCUUAUUUGUUACAAAAAGGGAUUCUUCAUCGGUCCUCUUGUGUUGCCACUCCUUCACAAAAUGGAGUUGCUGAAAGAAAAAAUCAACAUCUUCUUGAAGUAGCCAGAGCCCUCUUAUUCCAAAUGAAGGUACCUAAAUGUUUUUGGGCUGAUGCUGUAUCCACUGCUUGUUUUUUUAUCAAUCGCAUGCCUUCCUCCGUCCUUCAUGGUGAUAUCCCUUAUAACAUUUUAUUUCCCACUAAAUUUUUGUUUCCUAUUGAGCCACGUCUUUUUGGUUGUACUUGUUUUGUUCGUGAUGUUCGUCCACAGGUUACUAAAUUGGAUCCCAAAUCACUCAAAUGUGUCUUCCUUGGCUACUCUUGACGUCAGAAAGGGUAUCAUUGUUUUUCUCCUGAUCUGAAUCGGUAUCUUGUGUCUGCGAAUGUAACAUUCUUUGAGUCCACUCCGUUUUUUCCGCCAUCAUCUGUUUAUAACACCCAGGAGGAGGAAGAUGACCUCUUGUUAUACGCUGUUCGCUCUUCAUCUCCUCAGACUACUCCUACACCUUUCGCUCAUGUGCCAGGUCGCCCUCCCAUCUUUCAUGUGUAUUCCAGACGCUUAGAGGACUCUGACUCCGUUCCGCUACCCGCUUCUUCGUCGACAGAUCCUGCUCCUACUGAUCCUUCAUUGUCUGAUUUGGAUUUGUCCAUUGCUCUUCGCAAAGGUAAACGUACUUGCACUUAUCCUAUUUCAUCUUGUGUCUCUUAUGAUCAAUUAUCCUCCUCUUCUCGUUGUUUUGUCAUUGCUUUAGAUUCUAUUUCAAUUCCCAAAACUGUUAUUGAGGCUUUGUCCCAUCCUGGUUGGCGUGCUGCAAUGGAAGAGGAAAUGAUGGCCCUUGACACUAAUGGUACUUGGGAGUUGAUGUCCUUGCCCCCAGGAAAGCGGGCUAUUGGGUGCAAAUGGGUAUUUGCAGUGAAAGUAAAUCCUGAUGGAUCUAUUGCUCGCCUCAAGGCCCGUUUAGUGGCCAAAGGUUAUGCACAAACUUAUGGAGUUGACUAUUCUGAUACAUUCUCCCCAGUUGCCAAGCUCGCAUCUGUCCGAUUGUUUAUUUCCUUGGCGGCUACUCAUGAUUGGCCUUUGCAUCAACUGGAUAUUAAAAAUGUUUUUCUUCAUGGUGAUCUUCAGGAGGAGGUUUAUAUUGAGCAACCACCUGGUUUUGUUGCUCAGGGGGGAGUCAGGUAAGGUUUGCAGACUUCGAAAAUCGCUUUAUGGCUUGAAACAGAGUCCUCGGGCAUGGUUUGGCAGGUUUAGUGAGGUGGUCCAACAGUUUGGAAUGAAGAUGAGUAAGUGUGAUCACUCAGUGUUUUAUCGAAAUUCUGAUAGUGGAGUAAUUCUGCUUGUAGUAUAUGUGGAUGAUAUCGUUAUCACAGGAAGUGACAUUGCUGGCAUCACAUCCCUAAAAGAAUUUCUUAAAACACAGUUUCAUACAAAGGAUUUGGGUUCCUUGAAAUAUUUCUUGGGAAUCGAAGUUAUGCGGUGUAAGAAAGGCAUCUUCUUGUCUCAAAGAAAAUAUGUUCUUGAUUUGUUGGCAGAAACAGGAAAAUUGGGUGCUAAGCCUUGUAGUGCCCCAAUGACCCCUAACCUUCAACUUAACACAGAAGACAGUGAGCCAUUUGCAGAUCCUGGAAGGUAUAGAAGAUUAGUUGACAAGCUGAAUUAUUUGACGGUGACUCGUCCUGAUAUUGCAUAUUCAGUGAGUGUGGUAAGUCAGUUUAUAUCUUCUCCUACUGUUGCCCAGUGGGAUGCUCUGGGACAGAUUCUUUGUUACCUUAAAGGGGCCCCAGGGCGAGGCCUAUUCUAUGGUAACCAUGGGCACUCAAAUAUUGAAUGCUUUUGUGAUGCUGAUUGGACAGGUUCGAAAGUUGAUAGGAGGUCAAUUACUGGGUAUUGUGUUUUUGUGGGAGGUAACUUGGUCUCAUGGAAAAGUAAGAAGCAAAAUAUGGUCUCCCGUUCUAGUGUUGAAUCUGAAUAUCGAGUUAUGGCACAAGCCGUUUAUGAAAUCUUGUGGGUACGUCAACUGUUGGAAGAAGUUGGGUUCACAAAUUCGGUGCCUGCUAAGUUGUGGUGUGAUAAUCAAGCAGCUAUCCACAUUGCCUCCAAUCCAGUAUUUCACGAGAGGACUAAACACAUCGAGAUUGAUUGUCAUUUUGUUCGUGAAAAGGUCCAACAAAAGAUAAUAUCAACAGGAUAUAUCCGAACUGGAGAACAAUUAGGAGAUAUUUUCACUAAAGCUCUAAAUGGGACUCGAGUUGAUUAUAUAUGUAACAAGUUGGGCAUGAUUAACAUUUAUGAUCCAACUUGAGAGGGAGUGUUAUAAGUUAUAGAAAGUAAAUAUGUUAAUAUAGGAAGUAAAUAUUGAUAGAUGGAUCAGUUGCUUAAUCUUAGGGAUUGUAUAAUUAUAGGCUUGAUUUUCCUUCCUGUUUAGUUACCGUCUCUCAUGUAUAAAUAGGUUGUAAUCUCUAUUGUGAUAAAUACAAUAAAUAUUAUCUUUCUAAAUAUAUGAAGGGUAAAACACUUGUAACUCUUCUGUGUGGGAGAAUACUCAACACACACACACAUUUAAUAGUCCUCGAAUCGAGCUUCUCACCUGUCCUAGUAUGAACAAGACACGUGCAUCCAAACACCUUUGAUGAAUUAAUAUAAGCAUUUUUUCGAUUUAGCACCUCUAAAGGGCUUUUAAAGGCAAGAGCUUUGAAAGACAUUUUAUUAAUGAAAUAAGUUGCGGCUAAAACUGCAUCUCCCCAAUAGGUUUUUGAAAGGUUUACGGUGCAAAGGAGAGAUCGGACCACCUGCAACAGGUGUAUUUUUUCUUUAAGUAACACCACUAGUGUAAGGACAACUAGUUUGAUGCAGUAUCCCACUAGACUCCAAAUAAGCAGAAAAAUGGUCAUUCAUGUACUCUAUACCAUUAUCAGUUUUUAAAACUUUUAUCUUAGCAUCAAAUUGAGUACAAAUCAUCUUGUGAAAAGAUUGAAAGCAAGAAACCACAUCGCUCUUUUCUUUUAUCAAAUAAACCCAAGUUAUACGAGUGUAACAAUUAAUAAAAGUAACAAACCAACGAUUAACAGACCGUUUGAGUAGGUCCCAAACGUCAGAAUGGAUGGUCACAAAAUGAAUCGUACCUCUAUUGUUACUGGAGGGAUAAAAGGUUCUUGUAUGCUUAAUAUAUUCACAAGUAUCAUAAACUAAAGAACCA
This 5014-nucleotide long non-coding RNA is filed under the name Manihot esculenta (cassava). RNAcentral's name for it is "long non-coding RNA (MESC_LNC000641)". Lineage: Eukaryota; Viridiplantae; Streptophyta; Magnoliopsida; Malpighiales; Euphorbiaceae. The record is from RNAcentral.